This 1079-nucleotide unclassified non-coding RNA is filed under the name Hevea brasiliensis (rubber tree). The record is from RNAcentral. Lineage: Eukaryota; Viridiplantae; Streptophyta; Magnoliopsida; Malpighiales; Euphorbiaceae.
AAAAGAAAAAGGCAUGUGUAUAGCGGUGUUCAUAUGGAAAGCGCAUCCGUUGUAUCCCUUCCUUCUCUUCCUCAACAGAGAUGAAUACCACAAUCGUCCAACGAAACCAUUGUCAUGGUGGGAAGAUACUGAUAUACUUGGUGGAAGGGAUGAAGUUGCUGGUGGGACUUGGUUGGCUUGUACUCGCACUGGAAGACUUGCUUUUCUUACUAAUGUUCGAGAAAUCAAUUCAAAUUCACAUACCAAAAGUAGGGGAGACCUUCCUCUUCGAUUCUUAAAGAGUGUGAAGAGCCCUCGUGAUUUUUCAGAGCAACUAUUGAUAGAAGCAGGUGAAUAUAAUGGGUUUAAUUUGAUAGUAGCUGAUCUUUGUUCAAUGACUAUGCUUUAUAUAACUAACCGACCGAAACACACCGGUAUGUCCGUCACUGAGGUUUCACCCGGUAUUCAUGUUUUAUCAAAUGCAUCACUAGACUCUCCAUGGCCUAAGUCUCAACGGCUGGAGUGCAGUUUCAAGCAAUUAUUGGAUGAAUAUGGCGAAUCGGAAAUUCCAAUAGGGCAGGCAGCUGAAAGAAUAAUGAGAGACGUGGCUAAAGAAGAUAGUAACCUGCCAGGCAUCUAUUCCCCCGAGUGUGAGUACCAGUUGAGCUCCAUAUUUGUUGACACUGAAAUGUCCAUGGGGCGUUUUUGCACAAGAAGCACUUCUUCACUGGCAGUGAGAAGUUCUGGUGACGCAACCUUUUAUGAAGUGUAUCUUGAGAAGGAUAUAUGGAAGGAGCAGCAGAUAACCUUUGUAAUUGAGAAAAUGAUAGAUGGUGUUGUUUCUACGUCCUAAAGCGUUCUUAGAACAUGAACUACCAAGAUGCAGACAAGUCAAUGUUUGUGAUCUUUUCCAUGGACAAAGCACAGAAUUAUCUUGCUGUCUUAAUCUCUGCAUAAUCAAAUACUAUUUUAGUUAUCCUGUUGUUGAAUUUCAUUUUAUUGCUCCAGGACCUCCUUGCAGUGGUUCUGCUUAUUAAGAGGUACCAUAUAUAUUAGUGUGUAUCUAAAUGUUAGUUGCUGGCAUUAGAAUAAGCUGUGUU